RNAcentral lists this transfer RNA (65 nucleotides) under Tchangsinaia piscicula. RNAcentral's name for it is "tRNA-Ile". The record is from RNAcentral. Lineage: Eukaryota; Metazoa; Mollusca; Bivalvia; Unionida; Unionidae.
GCUGUCACGCCGGUAUGAACGGAUUACUUUGAUGAAGUAAAAAAUGGGACAAUUCCCUGACAUCU